AUACGGAGGGUGCAAGCGUUACUCGGAAUCACUGGGCGUAAAGCGCGCGCAGGCGGCUUGAUAAGUUGGAUGUGAAAGCCUACGGCUCAACCGUAGAACUGCAUCCAAAACUGUCAGUCUAGAGUGUGGGAGAGGAAGAUGGAAUUAGUUGUGUAGGGGUAAAAUCCGUAGAGAUAACUAGGAAUACCAAAAGCGAAGGCAAUCUUCUGGAACACUACUGACGCUGAGGCGCGAAGGCGUGGGGAGCAAACAGGAUUAGAAACCCCGGUAGUCC
This 274-nucleotide ribosomal RNA is filed under the name uncultured bacterium. RNAcentral's name for it is "partial 16S ribosomal RNA". It matches the Rfam family "Bacterial small subunit ribosomal RNA", at positions 523 to 796 of the family's 1533-position model. The record is from RNAcentral.